Molecule: ribosomal RNA, 269 nt
Filed under: uncultured prokaryote
Description: partial 16S ribosomal RNA
Rfam family: Bacterial small subunit ribosomal RNA
Source: RNAcentral
UACGGGGGGAGCAAGCGUUGUUCGGAAUUACUGGGCGUAAAGGGCGUGUAGGCGGACUCGGUAGUCAGGCGUGAAAACUCAUGGCUUAACCAUGAGCCUGCGUCUGAAACUCCUUGUCUUGAGUACAGAAGAGGAGAGUGGAAUUCCUGGUGUAGCGGUGAAAUGCGUAGAUAUCAGGAAGAACACCGGUGGCGAAGGCGACUCUCUGGUCUGAUACUGACGCUGAGGCGCGAAAGCGUGGGGAGCAAACAGGAUUAGAUACCCGCGUA